RNAcentral lists this ribosomal RNA (367 nucleotides) under Babesia sp. Its description in RNAcentral is "SSU rRNA". It matches the Rfam family "Eukaryotic small subunit ribosomal RNA", at positions 492 to 869 of the family's 1831-position model. Lineage: Eukaryota; Apicomplexa; Aconoidasida; Piroplasmida; Babesiidae. The record is from RNAcentral.
CAUUUGGGGUCUUGUGAUUGCAAUGAGAACAAUUUAAACCACUUAUCGAGUAACAAUUGGAGGGCAAGUCUGGUGCCAGCAGCCGCGGUAAUUCCAGCUCCAAUAGCGUAUAUUAAAGUUGUUGCAGUUAAAAAGCUCGUAGUUGAAUUUCUGGCCGGCGCUGUUCACGGCUCUCGUAGUCGGUUCAGGAGCCUGGUCAUCCGUAUGGGAAGCUAGCUCGUCCUUCGGUGGUCGGCUAGUGGAUCAUACACUUUACUUUGAAAAAAUUAGAGUGUUUCAGGCAGGCAAUUGCUUGGAUACCUCAGCAUGGAAUAAUGGAAUAGGACCUUUGACCUAUUUUGUUGGUUUCUGGGGCCAAAGUAAUGAU